UUGUAAAGAUAUGUUGAGUUGUAGGACUCUAACUUUACUAAAAUGUUUAGAAAAGGCAUAUUGAAGAA
RNAcentral lists this non-coding RNA (68 nucleotides) under unclassified sequences. RNAcentral describes it as "S4-Fusobacteriales ribosomal protein leader". It matches the Rfam family "S4-Fusobacteriales ribosomal protein leader". The record is from RNAcentral.